UAACCACACGUACUGUUUUAACAGUAGAACACUUUGCAAAACAUAAUAACAUAGCAGCAAAUGUCUUCUUUUUUUAACAGAUCCAUGCUGUAUCAGGUUGGUACAACACUCUAUUUUAUGUUAUUAUGAACAUGACAGCAGUGAUAUGUUCCUUUCAUAAAUCCACUUAAUUUACUACAUGUGUUUUGCCCACCAGAUCUCAGAGGACCAAUCAGAGCCCUGCUACAGACCACACAAUCCACCAGGACGAAACUAACCAAAGGGAAUAUGCUUCCGUUCUUCAAGAUAAUGCCUGUCUCUAUGAAACAAUCAAAGGCCCCGAAGAACCUGCAAAUGAUGAAUCCAGGGAUGCAAUAUAUUCUGUGCUCGAGCUCAAAAACAUUUCUAAGAAGGGAGGAAAAAAUGAACCGGAGGAUUGUGUUUACUCACAUGUGCAGAUGGCGUCAGCUGCAGAUUUGAAUUCAGCAGCGUCUCUCAUAGUGAGUCCUGACAGUGGGCAGCACUUCACCAAAACGCCCGUGUCACUGAGCUGUGAGGGAAACUCCACUGAUAAACCAUCAUAACAUUUAUGUCAAAAACUGAGUUUCCAGUUUUGGGCAUUCUGGCUACGCAUCACUCAU
Molecule: long non-coding RNA, 620 nt
Organism: Notothenia coriiceps (black rockcod)
Lineage: Eukaryota; Metazoa; Chordata; Actinopteri; Perciformes; Nototheniidae
Exons: 5
Source: RefSeq, a predicted model, not a curated record